UAGCUCCGAGGCGGACGCCCCGGGACGAGCUCGGGCGUUUGGGCGGCCCGCGCUGCACCCUCGCCGGCCGGCAAUCGGGGGUCGUCCCGGGUACGUUCUAGCGGUUGCCGGGCGCUACACAGCGAUCGCUUUGAGAGCGUCCCUUCCCUCCGGAGCUUCGGCGACUUUGGCGAGGGCUGUGACUCGGCCGCCAGGAGCGAGGCAGAGUUCCGGGAGGCGGGAUGCUGGCGGCGACUGUCCCGGUGCCGCUGAGGCUUGGGCGCUUCCUGCUGUAGCCGGAGAUUGGCCGAGCAGAUUCAUGUGGUGUGAGGCCGGCCUUGCGCUUCGGGGCUGUGGUUGGGAUGGUCCUGGCGGGUCUACCAGCAUGCCCUGGUGCCCCUCCGCCCGCAAUACUGAGCGUGGUUAUAGGACACGGUGUCCGUGCCCGACGUCGUCCUCCACGUCCUGGUGGUCGUACUUUCUCAAUUUUUCCGAGUCAUCGGGAGGUGGGGAAAGACACGGAUGUACUCGGACGGCGCCUGACUUUCCCCGGCCUCCCCGCUGGAUGCCGAACUUAUUCACCAAUUUUUUAAGUCUCUCGCCGGAGUGGGGCCCGGGCCGGAUGACGAAACGAGGAGGCACUGGGAGGGCGAUGGCGGUCCUCCCCUUCCUCCUUCCCACGGGACCAUGACGCCCCGACCCACAGGCCGUCCGGCAGUGCGUCCUCACCGCCUUGUGGGCCCGGGUCCGUCCAGCUGCCGUCGCGGCAGUGGGGCUGCUCCCCGGCGACCACUUUCGUUUCUCCAGAUCCCAUGCGAAGCGGUCACUGGGUUCCGUAGAUGGGAUUCCCCUGCAGGUCAGGCUGCGUCUACACUGGCAGCGCCCGUCGUCCAGUCUCCUGUUCACCUCGGCGCAGCGCUUGUGUGUCGACAGCACACGCAGGUCCCCUCACCGCGGGAAACGACACGGAGUUUCGCGUGCAAGUGGGGAGGACGCUCCAGGCACGGCGGCCGUCCCACCUGGGUCUCAGUGGUCGGAACCCCUAGCAAAGGUUUGGUAAACGGGGCGCGGCCUGGGCCGUCCGCUGGUGGUCGGGAGGAGCCCCGAGCCCGGGCGCAAUCCUGGUUGGGAGCGGUUGUCUGAGGCUCCCCCAGGGAAUAAGCUCUCUCUGGAUCCUGGGAACGGUCUCUGGACCCGCGGGCGGACACACCGGACCGAGCAACGCGACGGAUGGCGGUCUGGAUUGACCCCAGAAGUUAGUGCGGCGGCUGUAUGCCUGCGCCCUUGCACGCCCUGGAUUCGUCCCGCUGAGCUUCGCACCAGUGGAGCUUCACCUGGUGGUUCCUGCAGCAAGACUCACAGUAGACUCACCAAAAUGUAGGCAUUGAUGAAAUAAGAAAUCCUGAGAUUUUGAAUAUUUGAAGAUGUUGAAAGAGAGUUUCCAGAAUACAGAAUUUUCUAUAUACGACUGGGAGUCAGGGAACUCCUCCCUCUAAUCACGAGGUCCUGUCCCACCCCCUGCAGCAAGCAACCUGGAAAGCCAGACCCAAAUCUGUGCAGCAACAGAUCCCAAGGGUCAGUGCUUGCUCAGUGACUGACAACGUCCUCAUUUUUCAUCCUUUGCAUUCAGAACCGAAUGUAGGAAAACCAAAUAUGUUGCCCGAGGCAGUCAUGUGGGCUGCCUUCUUCCUGUCCUCCGCCUCCAGCUUCCUCACAUCACAACCUUCUUUUUUGCCACCAGAAAGCACUUCUGCGUGUGCAUGAGUCAGUGUAACGUGAGAGGCAGUGUCUGUGUCCCUCAAUCUGUAGCGCCAGCUCUGAACAAAUAGUGCUUGUCUCACUUGGGAGUCUUUCCUCAUGUCUAUAGGGCUUAGUAGAGUGAGAAUGAGAACCAACCAAUAA
Long non-coding RNA from Eubalaena glacialis (North Atlantic right whale), 1881 nucleotides. RefSeq lists it as uncharacterized. Lineage: Eukaryota; Metazoa; Chordata; Mammalia; Artiodactyla; Balaenidae. The record is from RefSeq and is a predicted model, not a curated record. The transcript is spliced from 3 exons.